UUCACGAAAAAUGCCCCCAGAUAGCCCAGCGUGCGGCGUUCCCUCUGUACGGCCCCUUCCGCACCGUCCCUUCCCUACCGUAACGCCCUCCGAACACCCCUACUGUUGCCUCACUCCCUCAUACUGUAUCGCUCCCUCAUCAGUCCCACUCACACUGCAGCGCUCCCACAGUACAGCUCUCCCUCGGUAUUUACCACCCACUGUGUUCCGUUCCCUCUUCACCACCCCUCCCAUUGUGUUCCGCUCCCUCUUUACCACCCCUCCCAUUGUGUUCCGUUCCCUCUUCACCACCCCUCCCAUUGUGUUCCGCUCCCUCUUUACCACCCCUCCCAUUGUGUUCCGUUCCCUCUUCACCACCCCUCCCAUUGUGUUCCGCUCCCUCUUUACCACCCCUCCCAUUGUGUUCCGUUCCCUCUUCACCACCCCUCCCAUUGUGUUCCGCUCCCUCUUUACCACCCCUCCCAUUGUGUUCCGUUCCCUCUUCACCACCCCUCCCAUUGUGUUCCGCUCCCUCUUUACCACCCCUCCCACUGUGUGGCGCUCUCUCAUCGCCCCCUCCCGCCGCUCCUCCCAAGGGUUUUGACUGGAGUUAGGGCAGUGGAUAUUGACUCCAUGGACUCCAAUAAAGCAUUUGACUGGUAUCUUCAAGAAAGGCCGAUUCAGUUUAUUGAGAGCGCGAACCAGGCUUCCCCGGCCCCCUGAGCCACACCGCCCGGUCACCCACGGGUUACCCCUAGCCUAAAAGGACUACGGGAGGCAACCCCCACAUAUGGAGGGAACUCUCUUACAGGGGGCGCCAGAAUCGAUCUCCGAGCGGUAUUAACUGUUCCGCUACCGUAGCGCCCCAAGACGCUUGGUCUUCCGGAUUCAGCUCUGGGUAGUGGUGUUAUUCUGAAGUGAAGUCCGUGGUCAGUUCUGCAGGGAUCCGCGCUGAGAUCCCUGUUAUUUGAGACGUGUCUACCGCACGGUAGCCGGUUCGAUUCCCGCUGCUGGAACGUUCGCCCUGUGACCGUGUAGGUUUCCGCCGGGAGCCCCGGUUUCCUCUCACGGUCCAAAGACGUAUGAGUUCCGGGUUAAUUGGUCACGUGGGUGUAAUUGGGCCUGUUACCCUGCUGUUUCUCUACGUAAAUUUGGACAAAUAAAUUGAUAGAAAAGGGAGGUGGUUACACACAAAAUGCUGAAGAAACUCAGCAGGUCAGGCAGCACCUAUGGAGGGAGUUAAACACGUGUCCCCGCUUUACACCACUUCGCUUUUACAAAAGACCUACAUUAGUAACCAGUUUUCGCAUUACAAAGAGGAUUUUCACUUUUACGAAAAUUUUUCCCAUAUUAAUUAAUGGUUAUUCACCUUACGCCAUUUCGGAUUAAGAAACGUUUCAUGGGAAUGCUCCACCUUUGUAAAGGGGGGGGGGGAACACCUGUAAACAGUUAAUGUUUCUGCCCGAGACCCUUCAUCUUGGACUGAAAGUCACUCUUUUCCCCUCUGUAGAUGCUGCCUGACCUGCUGAGUUCGUCCAGCAUUCUGUGUGUGUUGCUCUGGAUAUCCAGCAUCCGCAGGAUGUAGGCGGGCGGGUCAGUGACACCAAAAUUGGCGGAGACGGACAGUCCCGGGAUAUACUGUACAUCAGUUGCAAAUAUGGAUAGAGAAUUGGCAGCAGGAGGUUAAUAUGAGGCGUUGUACUUUGGGAGGUCAAAUGGAGGAAAGUGGCAGGACCCUGAAGGUGUGCCUCUCCCUCCCCUCUGGCCUCUUCCCUCUUGCCUUACCUGCCUAUCUACUCCCCUAGACGCUGCCUGACCUGCUGAGUUCCUCCAGCAGUUUGUGUGUGUUAUUCUAGAUUACCAGCAUCCGCAGAAUCUCUUGUUUUUACAAUGUGUUUAGUGCAGUAUUACUUUCCUUAAAACCAAUAGGAGUGUUGGCACUCAGGUGCCCCCUGGGGGUGGUACACCACAACAAUGAUUUGGGGGCUUCCUCACCCAAUGUGAUCCCUUCCCCUCAGUUGUGGUCCUGCCCCUCUGAGCCCUUGAGGUGGCUGAAUCAAGCUUCAGGAUAUCCCUCAGCACUGAGCACAUCUAUGUGAAAUGCUGUCGCAGGAAAGUAACAUUGAUCAUCAGGUACCUCCACCACCCAGGACGUGCUCUCUUCUCACCGCUGCCAUCAGGAAGAAGGUUUGUUGAAUGCCCAAGUUGGUGUGGUCCUGUUAUUACUGAGUACGCCCACAAGACAAUGAAUCUCAGGGUUGUGUACGAGGACAUGAUAAUUUACUUUGAACUUGGAGUGUAGUCACGCAGCCUGGAGCGCACCGGUCAGCAGCUUUCUAUUGACAUCUCGCUGUGUUGCAGACCAACAGGUAUUAGGCAUACCCAAGGGCACCUUUCACAGGUUAUAGAUCUGGGCACUACGGUGGCCAUGUGACACUAUUCCAGCUCCAUCGUAAGAGUUCAUAGUUCAGUCCCGGCGUCCUCUGUACGUUCUCCACAUGGAAUGCGUGGGCCUUCUCCCGGGUGAUCUACUUCCCUCCCACAGUCCAAGGGCCUACUGGGCAGGUGGAUUGGCCAUUGUAAGUUGUCCUGUGAUUAGGUUGGGGUUAAAUCGGGGUUUUGGGGGGUUGCUGGGGUGGGAUAGCUCAAAGGGCUGGAAGGGCCUACUCUGCACUGUAUCUCUAAAUAAAGUAUUAGUCUUGUGAGAGAAAUUGAUGAAGUAUCUGUUCAGAGUCUGUUUUCCAGGUAGAAAUGUCAAGCACUGAAGGUGAGAGGGUGAAAGGUCGAGUAGUGGGUGCCUGGGACAGGCUGGUACUGGGGCUGGACACCAUACUGAUGCAAAGAGCCCUUUGGACAAGUGCAUGAAAUGGAUUCUGCCCAGCUUCCAGAAUGUACCUUCUUCUCUUUGCUACCAUCAUGGCGGAGGGACAGGAGCCUGAAGACACAACACAAUGAUUCAGGAACAGUUUCUUCCCCUCCACCAUCAGAUCUCUGAAAGAACAUUGAACCCAUGUCCUCCAAGAGGACCACACCCUUGCCGUAGGGUUUGGACGCUUGCGUGCCUCAAUGAUCCAGAGAGCUGUGUUGGAUGGAGUCAGGGCCUUGUGCUUUGGCUCUUGGGAGGGUCACCCAUGCCAAAGAGGUCGAAGGGUAGAGGCCAGACUUAGAGUGGCCCACUUUUUUUGGGGGUCAGCUGAGGGCUAACAACCCUGACUGGCAAAACAAAAUUGUUGUGGAAACAGCAAUGGAGAAUUCUACAUCUGAGUGUGAAGGUAUUCGAGUCUCCACCCGGGACUUGCAUGACUGACAGCAGUGAAAACCGAGAGGAAGCUCCUGACACGAUGAAGACACCAGAGAUGGAGGAGCUUUGCUGCCCGAAACACCAGCAGUGUAACAGGCAGUAAGUAAAUCUUUCUUUUAACGACCCUGACCUGGAGUUACACGCUGAAUUUGGUUCUUUGCGGGAAUGGGACCCAUUCUCUGGGUUUCAGGACUGGCCACUGUUUGGCACGCCAAGGGUUCGGCCUGAGAUUUCGGCUCGGAUUUGGAAGCCUAGGAUCUCGGGGCUCUGGAGCCAGGUGGUUCGAGGGAUGGUGUCACGUCAAGAGGCCCGUGUGUCAUCAGGGGAGUCGGGGUAUCUGCUGUGGGCCUGAAGACCCAGGAUCUUUGUGAUCUUCAGGCACAGAGCUCAAAAAAAGCGACGUAACUGACUUUUAACAUCGUAAACCAGGGAGCUGUUUGUUAUGUCUCCCUGCUCGCUGGGAGAAUGGAGACUCCCCUUUCUCGCUUACUAGGGAGAGAGAGGAUCUGUGGUAUGUCGAAUGCCGGGUGAAAUGUGAAGUCUCUGGGGUAGCUGCAAGUCUGUGUCUUUGCUGUUGCUCACGCUGAGAGCUCGGUGACGGACGCCGAUGCUUUCUUUUGCUGGUGAGGGGAAGGGGUAUUGUUUCUUGCUGCUGCUUAUGUGUGGGAGGGAGGGGAGCUGGGGUUCUAACAUUCAGGUGUCGUUCAUUCUUUGGGGGGGGAACUACUGUUUUCAUGGAUGUUUGUGAAGAAAAAGAAUUUCAGAAUGUAUAUUGCAUACAUUUCUCUGACAUUAAAUGUACCUUUGAAAUGCCAGUGAUAUUAAACCUAAUUCUGAUUCCAAUGCCAUUGUGGUUGGCACCUUCACUGUGAGCUGGAGGGCCUGCUCCUGGACCCUCUCGUCCGAGAUUCCCCUGAGACUGGGAGUGUGUACACGCAGCUGAGCAGAGUGGAAUGGCGUUGCGGUCAGUGGGCCGCAGGACCUGUUCCAACACCCACCAUCUAACUUACGCACAGCCCUCAUGACCUUCUCUACCACUCUGCCUUUGACUCCUCAGGAGCGAAGGUCCAUGUGGAUGUGGGCCGGCGACUCCCCCAGUGAGUCUGGAGUUCCAGGCCUUCCAUUUCGUUGAGUCUGGAGUCAAUGUCAAAGGUCAGAGCCUGAAGCUCAGUUGGAAGUCAGGGGCUGAUGGCCUAGGUUGUGGGCCUGCCAAUUCACUGGAGGGUGGAGGCCCACAGGAGGUCUGUCUGUCUGGGUGUGGGUGAGAGGGAGGGACAGCGAGGGAAAAGGUGGUUGUUUCAAAGUUAUUUUGUUGUUGUGGCUUCUAUCGUUCUGCUGAAUACCGUUGGCCUGUUAAUAUUGGCACCAGAAUGUGUGGCAGGCAACUCUUGUAAGCUGCCCCCUUGGGUUGUGUUCAAAGUUCAAAGUAAAUUAAUUAUCCAAGCACAUAAACUGUAGGUCACCAUAUACACCCCGAGAUUGGCUCACGGAAAGUAAAAAGGAACACAAUGGAAUCAAUGUAAAACCAGACGUCAAAGACGGACAAACAACCAAAGUGUAAAAGACAAUAAACUGUGCAAAUACAGAAAGAGAAAAAGACAAAAUAACAACAAUAAACAAGCAAUAAAUAUUGAGAACGUGAAUUGAACAGUCCUGGGAAGUGAGUACUUGGUUUAUGGAAUCGGUUCAGAGUUGAGGUGAGUGAAGUUAUCCUCGCUGGUUCAGAAGCCUGAUGGUUGCAGGGCAAUAACUGCUCCUGAACGUGGUGGUGUGCGAGCUAAGGACCGUAAUAAAAUGAAAGACCACACCCAACGGGACCUAACAACCAGUGUGCAAAAGUCAACAGACUAUGCAAAUACAAAGGAAAAAAUACACAAACAAUAAAUAAAUAAACCAGCAGUAAAUACGGAGAAGAUGAGUUGAAGGUUCUUUGAGAGUGAGUCUGUAGGUUGUGGAAUUAGCUCAGUGAUGUAAGUAAGUCAGAAGUAAAAGAGGUGGUUCUGUGAACUGCCUGGAGGACAUCACCACUGGUCUCAUUGUUCACUGGUGUUACCCCGAAGCCCUUGCCCUGUUCAGCCUUCCCUGUAACUCAGAGCCUCAAGUCCUGGCAACAUCCUUGUAAAUUUUCUCCGAACACUUUCAAUUUUAUUGACAUCUUUCCCAUGGGUAGAACUACUCGAUACUCCAAACUAGGCCUCACUAAAUCUUAUAUAAUGUCAACAUAACAUCCUAAGGCCUGUACUCAAUACUCUGAUUUACAAUUUACUUGUAAACUUUCGUCUCUCUGUUCUGCAGCACCUGCCAGCCAAUCAAGAGACCCACUUGUAAUCUUGGUCAGACCUCAGCACUGUGCACCACGCCACCAAUUGUGGAGUCUCUCACAAACUUAUCAGCCAGACCUUGUAUGCUCUCGUCCGCAUCGGAAUCACAGGAUGUUAAAAAGCUGCAGGAAUUUGCCAACUCAGCAUCAAGGUCAUCUUCAAAAGGUGAUGCCUCAAAAAGGCAGCCUCCAUCAUUAAGACUCCCAGCGCCCAGGACGAGCCCUCUUCUCAUUGCUACCUUCAAGGAGGUGGCACAGGAGCCUGAAGACAAACGCUCAACGAAUAAGAACACCUUCUUCCCCUGCAUCAUCAGAUUUCUGAAUGGACAAUGAACCCAUGUACACUACCUCACUGUUUUUAUACUUAUUUAACUCCGGAGCGAAGGUUCCCGAGUUCGAAUCCAAUCGGGCCGCUCCCGGUUUUCCAUCCGUGCCAGUCGAGUGUUGAGCUUGCAGCUCGGUCUCGUAAGAAAAAACUGUGAAAAAGGAUGUGGGGGACCACUCACAGAAUCUCUCCUCCAAGACACCCACUUGAAAAGCUGAGGCUCUGGCAGAGUAUGGCACACAAAAAAAUUACAUAUAUUUCUUAUUGUAUUGUACAGUUUUUAAAGUUAUCAUGCAUUACAAUGUGUUUCGAGUAAGAAUGACUGCGCUACAGAACCCGCGUGGCGAAACAUUUGAAGUGGAAAAGCCGCGGCCCUGGGGCAGUUCCGCUCUCUCGACCUCAGAAGCCCUGUUCCCGUGAUACGAAUGAUCAUCACCUUGUUUACACUGGAUUACUGUGGCGUCUUCAGUGCCUCGCCACGCUCUUCGCUCUCCCCGAAGCAUUGAAGAACCGCCUUCUCACUCUCGGUCUCACCCGCCCAGAGAACCGGAGCCGACUUCGCACACCAGGAAAGGCACGUCCCUAUCUCACCGGGGCACCAAGCCAGCCCAGAUACCCUCACCCGCUCUAACCCGCCUGUCGAAGCAGUGUGGCUGUUGUCUCACGCAGGGCUGAGAGUCCGGUGAGGACCAGAGGUCGAUAAGCUGACCCGAGGGGGACACGGCGAACCCUUUCACCAGAGGUGCUACCCCUUUCUGGACACCUCAUACACCCCAAUGUACCGCUGCUGCAAAACAACAAACACUACAACAUAUUCCAGUGAUAAUAAACCUGAUUCUGAUUUCUAAUGAAGAUGGCAUUAGUGGAUCCCUGCUGGAUAUCACUGGUCACAGGCCUCCAGCUUGAGAAACACAUCUAUCCUAUCCCCUCUCUGACUCCUGCCAAUACAGAAUACUUUACUGUGCCCACCUUCUAACCUACUCGCAGAUCAAUCUAACCCUUCCCUGCCAGCAUUGUUGAGCAUCCUUCAGUGAUUCAAGUUUAGUCUGUGCUGUAUUCCUUUGUAUUUACUGUAGGCUCCCGUAAGAAAAUGAAUCUCAGGGUAGUACAUGGUGGCAUAUGUGUACUUUGACGGUAAAUUUAUUUUGAACUUUGAACUUUAAACGCCGGCCGAGGGCUGCAGUGCAGCCAGUGACCGCCAGGCGGCGGCGGACACCACAAACCAAAGGGGCCGAACAGCGAAGUCAUCGCCUUUCACUCUCGCCCUGUUGCUGACCAAGUGCCGCUCCCUCGAACAGAGUGCAAGCUCAGGAUGAGCCACCCCCACCCCAGCAGCCUUUCUCAUAACUCAUUCCAGGAUGCGGGCGUCACCAGCAUUGUGUUCCCGUUCACCAUUGUCUUCCUCUUGGAGCAGCCGCCGUGCAGGAGAGGGGGCAGCGGGAAUUGCACCCAGUCUGCGAUAAUAGUUCGCAGCUUGGCAAUGUGGGCAGCUGGGGGCGGGGGAGUAAUGUCCCUUUCCCCCUUGUCCUUCCCGCUCACGAACACUGCCUCGCUAUUCCUCUGCGGCGGUUUAUUUUUCUAGAUUAUGGCAGUUUUUAUAUGUUUUGCACUGUACUGCUGCCGCAAAACAAUACACUUCACGACAGUUGUCAGUGAUAAUAAGCACCUACAAGAGUCACGGCCACAAGAAAGUACUGUAUCAUCCAGUCCUGCCAACCGUGACCGAGCUCUCUUCUCGCUGCUGCCAUCGGGAAGGGGGUACAGGGGCCUCAGGACCCACACCACCAGGUCCAGGAACUGUUAUUACCCCUCAACCAUUGGGCUCUUGAAAUAAGGGGGAAAACCGUGACCAGGUGGGUUUCCUCCGAGUGUUUCAGUUUCCUCCCACAGUCUAAAGACACACCAGUUGGUCAUUGUAAAUUGUCCUGUGAUUAGGCCAAGGUUACAACGGGGGUCGCCCUGUGUCUCAAUAGAUAAAUAAAGUUUGUUCUUUUUUUUAUAUUUGCACAGUUUGUCCUCUCUUGCACCUUGGCUAUUUGUCAGUCUUUGUGAAGAGUUUCUCAUGAACUCUGUUGUAACUCUCUGUUCCCUGUGAAUGCCUGCAAGAAAAUGAAUCUCACAGUUGUCUAUGGCGACACACACGUAUUUUGAAAAUUAAUCUCAGGGUUGUAAAUAAUGACAUACACAUAUUUUGAUAAUAAAUUUACUUUGGACUCUGAAAUGUUUGUGACUGUUUACGUUGGAGAAUUGAGGUAGACACACUCCAGGGAGAUGCCCAUUGGCCAGAUAGUACAACUGGGUGUGAUGGUUUACAUAGGAAAAAUAGUGCAAGGAAUUGUACAGGCCCUUUGGCCCACUAUGUCUGUCCUGAUCCCAAAGUCAAUCCAGACUAAUCCUAUCAUCCUGCACAUAUUCUCUAUCCCUCCGUUUCCUGUAUGCUUGUGUGUCUUUGUAAAUCCUUCUUAAAUAUUGACAUUGGAUCUGCCUCCACCACCUUUCUAGGCAGCCACCACUCUCCGAUAAACAACUUGCCUUAUACACAUUAUUUAAGCUUCCCCCUUCUCACUGGAAAGCUGAGCCCUCUAGUAUGUAACAUUUCUACCCCAGAAAAAACACUCCGACCCUCCACUCUAUCUCCAUACAGGAUCAAAGUCAGAAUCACGUGUCGUGAGAUUUGUUUUGUGACAGCAGUACAAAGUGAUACACAAUACUGAACACCUAACAUUACAUAGGUGUACAAGAUAAUGAGGGGCAUUGAUCGUGUGGAUAGUCAGAGGCUUUUUCCCAGGGCUGAAAUGGCUAGCAUGAGAGGGCAUAGUUUUAAGGUGCUUGGAAGUAGGUACAGAGGAGAUGUCAGGGGUAAGUUUUUUACGCAGAGAGUGGUGAGUGCGUGGAAUGGGCUGCCAGCGGUGGUGGUGAAGGCGGAAACGAUGGGGUCUUUUAAGAGACUCCUGGAUGGAUUCAUGGAGCUUAGAAAAAUAGAGGGCUGUAGGUAAGCCUAGGUAGUUCUCAGGUAAGGACAUGUCCGGCACAGCUUUGUGGGCCGAAGGGCCUGUAUAGUGCUGUAGGUUUUCAAUGUUUCUAUUAUAAUUGUACAUAUUGUUAGGGCAUAUUCUGGAGUUAGGGUAUAUAACAAAUAUUAAAUUCAAUAGCGGCCAUUCUUCAGACAUGGAUUGUAGAUGAAAUUUAAAAUGCAGCGCUGGACAAUAGUUUUCCUGGAGCUGUGGACACUAGUUAACCUGGACAGAGGUGCAGCGUCUGAACCCUGGAACACUCCAAGCUGAAAUAGUGUUGUACUAACCACUGCGUUACCAUGGCACCCAUAGGAGAAGAAUCGAGCCAUUUGGCCCAUUGAGCAUUUAUUUUCCCUCUCAACCCCAUUCUCCUGCCUUCUCCCAGUAGCCUUUGAUGCCUCGAUUAAUCAAGAACCUAUCAACCAAAUGGCCUGUCUGUGGCAAUGAAUUCCACACAUUCGCCACCCUCUGGCUAAAGAAAUUCCUCCUCACCUUUGGAAUUUUAUUCGUAUGUGUAGUUCUCUGACCCAGGCAGCAUCCUGGUGAAACUCUUCUGCAGCCUUUCCAAAGCCUCCACACCCUAUAAUGGGGCACUCGGUGCUCUAUGGAAGUUUUAUACAACAGCAACCUUGCUUUCUGUCCUUUACACUCAACAUACAUGCCUCAGCCUCCUUUACCCUCCUGCCCACUGGAUUCCCCCCUUUCGGGAUGCUGUGGACUUGUACCCUGAAGACCCUUUUAUACAUCAAUUUUUAC
This is a long non-coding RNA of Hypanus sabinus (Atlantic stingray), 9695 nucleotides long. RefSeq lists it as uncharacterized. The record is from RefSeq and is a predicted model, not a curated record. NCBI's taxonomy places the organism in Eukaryota, Metazoa, Chordata, Chondrichthyes, Myliobatiformes, Dasyatidae. The transcript has 3 exons.